This 564-nucleotide ribosomal RNA is filed under the name uncultured bacterium. RNAcentral's name for it is "bacterial SSU rRNA". It matches the Rfam family "Bacterial small subunit ribosomal RNA", at positions 338 to 916 of the family's 1533-position model. The record is from RNAcentral.
CCUACGGGAGGCAGCAGUGGGGAAUUUUCCGCAAUGGGCGAAAGCCUGACGGAGCAACGCCGCGUGAGGGAUGAAGGCCUCUGGGCUGUAAACCUCUUUUCUCAAGGAAGAAGAUCUGACGGUACUUGAGGAAUAAGCCACGGCUAAUUCCGUGCCAGCAGCCGCGGUAAUACGGGAGUGGCAAGCGUUAUCCGGAAUUAUUGGGCGUAAAGCGUCCGCAGGCGGCCUCGUAAGUCUGUCGUUAAAGCGUGGAGCUUAACUCCAUUUCAGCGAUGGAAACUGUGAGGCUAGAGUGUGGUAGGGGCAGAGGGAAUUCCCGGUGUAGCGGUGAAAUGCGUAGAUAUCGGGAAGAACACCAGUGGCGAAGGCGCUCUGCUGGGCCAUAACUGACGCUCAUGGACGAAAGCCAGGGGAGCGAAAGGGAUUAGAUACCCCUGUAGUCCUGGCCGUAAACGAUGAACACUAGGUGUCGGGGGAAUCGACCCCCUCGGUGUCGUAGCCAACGCGUUAAGUGUUCCGCCUGGGGAGUACGCACGCAAGUGUGAAACUCAAAGGAAUUGACGG